AUGCCUAGGACUGGCGAUAUGCCGAUGAGGAGCGCGCCGCCUGCGCGUACGAGCAGCGCAUGGUGGCUAGCGGCGAUGCUUUGGUUGGUGGCGGUGGCGUGGUGCUACUCGCUGCUGCGUGAUUCAUCGUCGGCGCAUCCUCCAAUAAGCUCGGUUGCUGCCAUGAUUUGGAGAAGGAUUCGUCCCCUUCCUCUGUUGCUUCAAGCUGCCAUGGAGGUGGAUGGAGCGAUGGUGAUGCUAGAGGAUCUGGUUUUUGCAGGUGGGUUCGGAGCAUAUCAGCAGCGGCAGAUCAGGUGGAGCUACGGCGCCCGCUGGCAACCGGUCUUCCACACCAUGGCGUUGCCCCUUCUGGCCGAAUGGCGGCCGUGUAUUUCCUCCCAGCCUAAGAGCGAUAGGGGAGGCAGAUGCAUCUUCUAUCUGGAGUUCGAAGCGGUUCCAAGCUGCUGCGAUGGUCUCGUCGCCCCAAGUGGUGCGUCCCCGGCGACGGCGAGUCUACAUCCAGGAAGAAGAUGUUGUGGACCCGAUUGCAAUUUUCAGAUCCAGUUUAGGGUCCUUCUUGUCAAAAUAUUUUCCUUUUAUGUGAGUCCUUGUGUGGGCUUUGUGUUGUAA
Molecule: ribosomal RNA, 609 nt
Filed under: Triticum aestivum (bread wheat)
Lineage: Eukaryota; Viridiplantae; Streptophyta; Magnoliopsida; Poales; Poaceae
Description: partial small subunit ribosomal RNA
Source: RNAcentral